Molecule: long non-coding RNA, 307 nt
Organism: Melopsittacus undulatus (budgerigar)
Lineage: Eukaryota; Metazoa; Chordata; Aves; Psittaciformes; Psittaculidae
Exons: 3
Source: RefSeq, a predicted model, not a curated record
GAGGAGGGCGUGGUCAUCUGGGCUUCACAGUGAUGAGUAUCUGGCUUGUUCUCUUUCUGUGUUUAAGAGGCCUAAGCCGCUUAUCAUUGAAUGCUAUAUUCUUGUGAUCAUCGAUAAGCGAUUUAGAAUCCAGUUAUGUGGAGAGAUGCCAAAGUUUUGAUGUUGUAACCAUUAACAUGUGAUGGAGCCCUGCUUUCCUGGAGAUGGAUGAACCUGCAGAUGGGAAAUGCUGAAUGAAUUCCUUGCUUCACUUUGCUUACAUGUUCAACUUUUGCUUUAACUAUUAAACUGUCUUUAUCUCAACCCA